RNAcentral lists this ribosomal RNA (710 nucleotides) under uncultured Streptococcus sp. Its description in RNAcentral is "bacterial SSU rRNA". It matches the Rfam family "Bacterial small subunit ribosomal RNA", at positions 120 to 812 of the family's 1533-position model. Lineage: Bacteria; Bacillati; Bacillota; Bacilli; Lactobacillales; Streptococcaceae. The record is from RNAcentral.
GGUAACCUGCCUGGUAGCGGGGGAUAACUAUUGGAAACGAUAGCUAAUACCGCAUAACAGUAGAUGUUGCAUGACAUUUGCUUAAAAGGUGCAAUUGCAUCACUACCAGAUGGACCUGCGUUGUAUUAGCCAGUUGGUGGGGUAACGGCUCACCAAGGCGACGAUACAUAGCCGACCUGAGAGGGUGAUCGGCCACACUGGGACUGAGACACGGCCCAGACUCCUACGGGAGGCAGCAGUAGGGAAUCUUCGGCAAUGGACGGAAGUCUGACCGAGCAACGCCGCGUGAGUGACGAAGGUUUUUGGAUCGUAAAGCUCUGUUGUAAGAGAAGAACGAGUGUGAGAGUGGAAAGUUCACACUGUGACGGUAUCUUACCCAGAAAGGGACGGCUAACUACGUGCCAGCAGCCCGCCGGUAAUACGUAGGUCCCGAGCGCUUGUCCCGGAUUUACUUGGGCGUAAAGCGAGCGCAGGCGGUUAGAUAAGUCUGAAGUUAAAGGCUGUGGCUUAACCAUAGUACGCUUUGGAAACUGUUUAACUUGAGUGCAAGAGGGGAGAGUGGAAUUCCAUGUGUAGCGGUGAAAUGCGUAGAUAUAUGGAGGAACACCGGUGGCGAAAGCGGCUCUCUGGCUUGUAACUGACGCUGAGGCUCGAAAGCGUGGGGAGCAAACAGGAUUAGAUAGCCUGGUAGUCCACGCCGUAAACGAUGA